RNAcentral lists this ribosomal RNA (273 nucleotides) under uncultured bacterium. Its description in RNAcentral is "partial 16S ribosomal RNA". It matches the Rfam family "Bacterial small subunit ribosomal RNA", at positions 524 to 796 of the family's 1533-position model. The record is from RNAcentral.
UACGUAGGGUGCGAGCGUUAAUCGGAAUUACUGGGCGUAAAGCGUGCGCAGGCGGCUUUGCAAGACAGAUGUGAAAUCCCCGGGCUUAACUUGGGAACUGCAUUUGUGACUGCAUCGCUAGAGUGCGGCAGAGGGGGAUGGAAUUCCGCGUGUAGCAGUGAAAUGCGUAGAUAUGCGGAGGAACACCGAUGGCGAAGGCAGUCCCCUGGGCCUGCACUGACGCUCAUGCACGAAAGCGUGGGGAGCAAACAGGAUUAGAAACCCCUGUAGUCC